RNAcentral lists this ribosomal RNA (703 nucleotides) under Cora sp. Jonitz 1374. Its description in RNAcentral is "eukaryotic LSU rRNA". The stretch from base 265 to 418 matches the Rfam family "5.8S ribosomal RNA". Lineage: Eukaryota; Fungi; Basidiomycota; Agaricomycetes; Agaricales; Hygrophoraceae. The record is from RNAcentral.
GGAAGUAAAAGUCGUAACAAGGUUUCCGUAGGUGAACCUGCGGAAGGAUCAUUAAUGAACUCUCGAGGGACGCUGCUGCUGCUGGGCUUCUCCGCAAGUCAUCGUGCACGCGGUCGUUCUUCUCGUUCAAACCAUCUACCCCUAUCUGUGCACUCCUCGUGAGCCGAGAACUCUCUCGGCUCAUGUCCAUUCCACACGACACUCCAACUAGAUUAGUGAACAAGCAGUCGUCCGAGCUUCGUCUCGACGCUAACGUUAACGCACAACUUUCAACAACGGAUCUCUUGGCUCUCGCAUCGAUGAAGAACGCAGCGAAAUGCGAUAAGUAAUGUGAAUUGCAGAAUUCAGUGAAUCAUCGAAUCUUUGAACGCACCUUGCGCCCCUUGGUACUCCGGGGGGCAUGCCUGUUUGAGUGUCAGUAGACCAUCAACCUGAAGGGCUUUCGUGGCCCGUCGGAGUUUGGAACUUGCGGCGUGCGGGAGGCCUUCGCGGGCCUCCGCUCCUCGCGGAAUACAUCAGCGGAAGUCCACCGGCGGGACCAGCCUUGGCGUGAUAAGCAAUCUACGUCUUGACUCUGGCCCGCGUCUUCUGGCUCUGCUUCGAACUGUGUCGUCCCCAUGGGGCGCGACAGACCCAUUGACAAGUUUGACCUCAAAUCAGGUAGGAUUACCCGCUGAACUUAAGCAUAUCAAUAAGCGGAGGA